UGCACUUGACGGGUGUUGUCGAAUCCGAUGAUCCUGAUGAAGGCUUCAGGGUACUCCUUCUUGCACUCGUUAACUUCCUUCAACACUUGUGCUGAGUCAGUGCAUCCGAACAAGGGUAGCUUCCACAUUGUCCAGUACCUUCCAUCGUAGUAUCCGGGGGUGUUACCGUGCUCACGGUGCACAAACCCGUUCUAUAAUAUAAAAAAAAACCAAACCACACAUGUUACGACCACAACAACAACAACAACAACAAAAGUCCAAGAUCUAAGCUAGUUUAUGUUUUUUUCUUACCUCCAACUCGAAUUCAACACAGGGAAUCCACUUGUUGCGGAGGAGGUAGUCAACUUCCUUUCCCAACUCGACCUCGGAAAGGUCAGGAAGGUAAGAGAGAGUCUCGAACUUCUUCUUUCCGAUCGGAGGCCACACCUUUGAGAUUCAGACAAAACAACAUAUGAGUUCAUGUAAUUCGAACGAAAAAAGAAGAAGAAGAAAAAAGAUGUAUGACCUUCAUGCAGCUAACUCUUCCGCCGUUGCUUGUGAUGGAAGUAAUGUCGUUGUUGGCCUUGCGGGUGGAAGGGAAAGCAGCGGAGGACUUAAGUCCGGUGAAAGGAGCGACCAUAGUGGCCUGAGCCGGGGAGGCAACCAUUGUAGCGGAAGAGAGCAUAGAGGAAGCCAUUGUGUUCUUUCUCUUUUACUCUUUUGUGUGACUGAGGUUCUGUCUAGUGCUUUGGUCAUCUAUAUAUAAUGAUAAUAACAAUGAUAACAAUCACUUGAGUGAUCGUAGGGUCGAGGAAUCAUGAGGCUUGAGUGGGAAAGGAUUUAGACCGUUGGAUGAUGAGUGUGUGGAUAUGUGUGUGUGUGUGAGGUUUUAAGUCACUUGGUAACGGCCACAGAAGCCUAAGGUAAGGUCCUGAGAGACCCUUAUCGGUUUGUAACGCUAGAACAGUGCCACGUGGAAGAUAAAUCUUAUCGUUAUCUAUGAGUG
RNAcentral lists this long non-coding RNA (985 nucleotides) under Capsella grandiflora. Its description in RNAcentral is "long non-coding RNA (CGRA_LNC001131)". Lineage: Eukaryota; Viridiplantae; Streptophyta; Magnoliopsida; Brassicales; Brassicaceae. The record is from RNAcentral.